AUUAUUUUAAGAAUAUAAGUAAAUAUGUAUGUACAGGAAGUUAUCCUGUGCAUUAUUGCAGGACGAAGAAUGGCAUAGGUUUUAGAAGUUGUUUAGGUAGAAGCAAUAUUCAUAACAAUGACUUCACUAACAGUGUAGUAAAUUGCAAUUACUUUAAUCUAUUUUCUUUACCAAAUUUGUUUUCCUUAAAAAGGAAAACUAAAAGUAAUGAUAUCCUUAACAACUAUGUAAUUUUAAGAAUAAUAAAAGUGUUAGUACAACAUAAUAUACAUAUUUAUUUAUUAAAAAAAAUUUGUUUAUUUUGGAUUUACAUUUGUAACUACAAUGAUUCCAUUUUUUUUAAUAAUUUAUUAUUUUUUCCAUAUUAUGAUCACACAGUUUUAUCUAUUUAUGUUUCUUCUUUUUGUGCUCUUUUAAAUUAUUAUAUCAUAUCUAAUAUGUGUAUAAAAUUAAUAAAUAUUCGAAAUUUUAAAUUUAUUCCCAAUUUUAUAUUAACAAAAGGUUUUAAGAAAGUAAGUAAGUUAUUAGCUUCCGCUUUUUGGGUAUUAUCGGGUGGAAUAGUAAACGCAUUGGAAGAUGAGAUUUAUUUUAUGUCAUUAGAAGUUAUGAAUGGUAAUAACUUAGGUACUGUUACCAGUACAUGUAGUAUUGACAACAUUUAUGAUUUUUUGGAGAACUUAAAUAUAGAAUCUAUUAUACAAGAAGAAGAUAUAUAUAACGACAUGGACAAAAAGAUGGAAGAAAAAAUGAUUAAAAAAGAAGAACAUAUAAUUAAAUAUUUAGAAAAACAAACUGAUAAUAAUGAUAAUAUGCAUGUUCAGCGUUUUGUAUUUAAAAAUCAUAGGAUUAAAAAGGAUAUUAACAACACGUUUCAAUCGUUUCAUUUAUUAGAUGUAUUUUUUUUUAAAAAAGAUAGUAUAAAAAAAAACAGAAAAACAAUAAAACGUGAUAUUUAUAACACUCUGUGUAUUGAUAAAUAUUGGUUUAUUCGGGAUAAUCUGUUGAUGGGUAGUUAUUAUUUUGACGAAUGUACAGACGUGCGUAACGAACGUGAUUCAGUUGGUAAACAUGAUGUGAACAAAUCGCAACAAUUACAAAAGGAACAAUUUCAAAGGAUAAGCAUACCGAAACAAAGUUAUAACGUCAAAGGUAGUAGUAGUGAUGACAGUAGUAGUGAUGACAGUAGUAGUACUACCUCUGAGAGGUUAACAAAAACAGAAAGCCACUAUAAAAACAAUAACAACAAUUACAGUUGUGUUAAAAAUAAAAAUUGUUUAAGUAAUGAUAUCGAUACGGUGAUAAAAUGGCUAAACGAGUUAGGGAGUAUCAAUGACAGUAGUAGUGACAGUAGUAGUAUCUACGACAAGGCCAGUGGUAGUGGUAGGGCUACUGACAGUAAUAACAAAAUGAAUAGCUGCAUGUGUGAACAAAGCAUUAUAAGAGACAAUAACAAUGCGAUGUAUUCGGGUAAUGAUUUUAUAAUAAAUAAUAUAAAUAUGGAUUUGAAAAAAAGUAAUAAUUGUAAUAAAGAUAAGAUGAAGGAAGAAGUAGAAGGUGGUAUUACACCUGUAACAAAUACAAAUUAUAACCCAAAUGGUAUAAGUAAUCAUCUAAAUUCUUUAAACCAAAUGUUGCAAAGUAAUAUGUAUAAGAAUAAACCUUACUGGAAUCGUACAAAUCGAACACAACAUUUACACCAUACAAAUAUGUCACUAUCACAAAACAAAAUGAGUACA
This 1736-nucleotide long non-coding RNA is filed under the name Piliocolobus tephrosceles (Ugandan red Colobus). Its description in RNAcentral is "lncRNA (ENSPTEG00000004664.1)". Lineage: Eukaryota; Metazoa; Chordata; Mammalia; Primates; Cercopithecidae. The record is from RNAcentral.